AUACGUAGGGGGCGAGCGUUAUCCGGAAUUACUGGGUGUAAAGGGUGCGUAGGCGGUAUGGCAAGUCAGUUGUGAAACCCCCUGGCUCAACCAGGGGCUUGCAAUUGAAACUGUCAUACUAGAGUGCAGGAGAGGAAAGCGGAAUUCCUAGUGUAGCGGUGAAAUGCGUAGAUAUUAGGAAGAACACCAGUGGCGAAGGCGGCUUUCUGGACUGUAACAGACGCUGAGGCACGAAAGCGUGGGGAGCGAACAGGAUUAGAUACCCUGGUAGUCCACGCCGUAAACGACGAGUGCUAGGUGUUGGGGUCUAAUUAGAUCUCGGUGCUGAAGUUAACGCAUUAAGCACUCCACCUGGGGAGUACGAUCGCAAGAUUGAA
This 377-nucleotide ribosomal RNA is filed under the name uncultured bacterium. RNAcentral describes it as "bacterial SSU rRNA". It matches the Rfam family "Bacterial small subunit ribosomal RNA", at positions 523 to 898 of the family's 1533-position model. The record is from RNAcentral.